GACGAACGCUGGCGGCGUGCUUAACACAUGCAAGUCGAACGGAAAGGCCCUGCUUUUGUGGGGUGCUCGAGUGGCGAACGGGUGAGUAACACGUGAGUAACCUGCCCUUGACUUUGGGAUAACUUCAGGAAACUGGGGCUAAUACCGGAUAGGAGCUCCUGCUGCAUGGUGGGGGUUGGAAAGUUUCGGCGGUUGGGGAUGGACUCGCGGCUUAUCAGCUUGUUGGUGGGGUAGUGGCUUACCAAGGCUUUGACGGGUAGCCGGCCUGAGAGGGUGACCGGCCACAUUGGAACUGAGAUACGGCCCAGACUCCUACGGGAGGCAGCAGUGGGGAAUAUUGCACAAUGGGCGGAAGCCUGAUGCAGCAACGCCGCGUGCGGGAUGACGGCCUUCGGGUGGUAAACCGCUUUCGCCUGUGACGAAGCGUGAGUGACGGUAAUGGGUAAAGAAGCACCGGCUAACUACGU
RNAcentral lists this ribosomal RNA (467 nucleotides) under uncultured bacterium. RNAcentral's name for it is "partial 16S ribosomal RNA". It matches the Rfam family "Bacterial small subunit ribosomal RNA", at positions 28 to 506 of the family's 1533-position model. The record is from RNAcentral.